Molecule: non-coding RNA, 87 nt
Organism: Enterococcus hirae ATCC 9790
Lineage: Bacteria; Bacillati; Bacillota; Bacilli; Lactobacillales; Enterococcaceae
Rfam family: RNA anti-toxin A
Source: Rfam
UAAUAAAUAUGAAAAAAGGAACUGCGUCAACAGUUCCCUUUUGACAGCACCGCUAAAGACGGUGGCAAUUAAACUAAAUAUUUCAAA